GUGCACGCUGGCGGUAGGCCUAACACAUGCAAGUCGAACGGCAGCACAGUAAGAGCUUGCUCUUACGGGUGGCGAGUGGCGGACGGGUGAGGAAUACAUCGGAAUCUACUUUUUCGUGGGGGAUAACGUAGGGAAACUUACGCUAAUACCGCAUACGACCUACGGGUGAAAGCAGGGGAUCUUCGGACCUUGCGCGAUUGAAUGAGCCGAUGUCGGAUUAGCUAGUUGGCGGGGUAAAGGCCCACCAAGGCGACGAUCCGUAGCUGGUCUGAGAGGAUGAUCAGCCACACUGGAACUGAGACACGGUCCAGACUCCUACGGGAGGCAGCAGUGGGGAAUAUUGGACAAUGGGCGCAAGCCUGAUCCAGCCAUACCGCGUGGGUGAAGAAGGCCUUCGGGUUGUAAGCCCUUUUGUUGGGAAAGAAAAGCAGCAGGUUAAUACCCCGCUGUUCUGACGGUACCCAAAGAAUAAGCACCGGCUAACUUUGUG
RNAcentral lists this ribosomal RNA (490 nucleotides) under uncultured bacterium. Its description in RNAcentral is "partial 16S ribosomal RNA". It matches the Rfam family "Bacterial small subunit ribosomal RNA", at positions 29 to 507 of the family's 1533-position model. The record is from RNAcentral.